CGAAGUCACUCUGAAUUCCCGGAAGAUUGGACCCAAACAGAAGAACAAAAACAAAUUCUGGAGCCAAAUAUAAAUGCGUUUUUAAUUACCCGCACGGCUGCUCCCUCCCAUUAGUGUGGGAAAUGAAGGGUUGAGCGUUUAGCACUUAACAGUGAUAAUCCCAGCGCAAAACUUUCAGAACAGCCCAUUGAUCCCAAAGUCCGAUGGAUAUGAGCCUGCUUCAGGUGGCUUGGGCUAGCUCCGCGGCCUCUUCACUGUUUGGAAUGGAGGAAGCUCAAACCCAGCCAGCAUCCCAAGCCAAGCAAGCUGCACAGGGCCGGCAUCUGGGAUGUGAAAAGCUAACUGGCCAGACUUGGAGGGCAUGCAAGGACAACGGCCGUCUCAAGGACACACACUGGAUGGGCAGGUGCCUUGUGCAGUCAGGACAAGUGUUCCGGAGCCUGGCAGCUGUGGCCUGUCUGACCUUACCCCUCUGGGCUGACUGAGCUGGGAAUGCCUCUGCCGACUCAGCCCAGCACCUGGUAUGGAGAAAGUGCCAGGGAAGGGCUAGGAUCCCACAGCACAACAGGACACUCGAAUGACAGCAUUGUUACAAAUGAAGGUACCAUGGGCUUCAUCUGGCCCCAGCCAUCUGCCUAAAGUGCCCCAGAGGUGCAGACUGUAGAAGUUUCCUCCUCCCUGGAGUGUCUCCCUCCCCCCAGAGAGACACAAGCAGAGCCCAUGUUUGCUUGCUGUUACUCCAAUGGGAAUAUAUCCAAACCCAAUUGUUUCCGGGGAUCCCCCAGGCAAGCAAAUGGCGUCUGGUCUGCCGAGCAGAACUCUCGAGGGGCUCUGUGGUGAAUGCCAGGCCCCAGCGCUGGGGCUCGGGGCUCACGUGUGUCCCCUGAUUGGGCUUUUCUUCUUCUGGGAUGUGGGGGUGGUCAAGACACCAGAGUCCCAGGAUUCUCUUGAGGAUUAAAGAGCAGGCAUUUGUGAAGCGCUGGCCUCGGUCCUGCUGCAGAAGCAAUCUCUGAGAGAGCAGUGGCCGAUAUGAUUGCCCCAGUUAAAGCUGAAUUUUCACAGAGGACUUCCAAAGGGACUGGAGCUCCGCUAAUGAGGACUUUUUGCCCUUUCUCUUCUGCGCUGAGAUCUGACCUGUUUGCUCUGAUGCCACGGUGUGAGAACAUUGCUGAGCUCAGGGCUCUCUUGGCGACAUCUGUACACCUGUCCCCACUCCCAUUGUAUGUGUAUGGGUGUGCAUGUGCAUAUGUGCUUCAGUG
Mus musculus (house mouse) is the source of this 1259-nucleotide long non-coding RNA. RefSeq annotates it as predicted gene 1667. The record is from RefSeq and is a predicted model, not a curated record. The transcript is spliced from 4 exons. NCBI's taxonomy places the organism in Eukaryota, Metazoa, Chordata, Mammalia, Rodentia, Muridae.